Molecule: ribosomal RNA, 531 nt
Filed under: uncultured bacterium
Lineage: Bacteria
Description: bacterial SSU rRNA
Rfam family: Bacterial small subunit ribosomal RNA
Source: RNAcentral
GUAACACCGUGGGAAUUUACCAAGAAGUGGGGAAUAGCUCGACGAAAGUCGAAUUAAUACCGAUAUGAUCGAAAGAUCAAAGCCGGGGACCGCAAGGCCUGGCGCUUUUUGAGAAGCCCGGGCCCAUCAGCUAGUUGGCGAGGUAAAAGCUCACCAAGGCUAUGACGGGUAGCUGGUCUGAGAGGACGACCAGCAACUGGAACUGAGACACGGUCCAGACACCUACGGGUGGCAGCAGUCGAGAAUUUUUCACAAUGGACGAAAGUCUGAUGGAGCGACGCCGCGUGGAGGAUGAAGGUUUCUCGGAUUGUAAACUCCUGUCACUGCAGAACAAGGGUGCAUUUAUGAAUAGUAGAUGCAUUUGAUGGUAUGCGGAGAGGAAGGGACGGUAACUCUGUGCCAGCAGCCUGCGGUAAGACAGAGGUCCCGAGCGUUGUUCGGAUUCAUUGGGCGUAAAGGGUGUGUAGGAGGCUAGGUAAGUCAGGUGUGAAAUCUACACAGAUUAACUGUGAAACUGCGACUUUGAUAACU